This 532-nucleotide ribosomal RNA is filed under the name uncultured bacterium. Its description in RNAcentral is "bacterial SSU rRNA". It matches the Rfam family "Bacterial small subunit ribosomal RNA", at positions 8 to 548 of the family's 1533-position model. The record is from RNAcentral.
AGAGUUUGAUCCUGGCUCAGGAUGAACGCUAGCGGCAGGCCUAAUACAUGCAAGUCGAACGGUGAUAGCAAUAUCAUAGUGGCGCACGGGUGCGUAACACGUAUGCAACCUACCUUAUACUGAGGGAUAGCCUUUCGAAAGGGAGAUUAAUACCUCAUAACACAUUGAACUGGCAUCAGUUUAUUGUUAAAGAUUUAUUGGUAUAAGAUGGGCAUGCGUCCAAUUAGUUAGUUGGCGAGGUAACGGCUCACCAAGACGAUGAUUGGUAGGGGAACUGAGAGGUUAAUCCCCCACACUGGCACUGAGAUACGGGCCAGACUCCUACGGGAGGCAGCAGUAGGGAAUAUUGGGCAAUGGAGGCAACUCUGACCCAGCCAUGCCGCGUGCAGGAAGAAGGCGUUAUGCGUUGUAAACUGCUUUUAUAUAGGAAGAAAUAGACCUUGCGAGGUAAGUUGACGGUACUAUAUGAAUAAGCACCGGCUAACUCCGUGCCAGCAGCCGCGGUAAUACGGAGGGUGCAAGCGUUGUCCGG